GUAUUUGAAGUCAUAAAGAAUUGCACAAAAAAGACGGAAUCUUUUAAAAUAAAAGAACAUAUCACCUGUCAGAGUACUAAUGUGAUCUAUGUACUGGAGUGUCCGUGUGGACUCAAGUAUGUAGGAAGAACCAAGAGGAAGUUGUAUGUGAGAAUUAGAGAACAUAUGCUGAAUAUAAAGAAAGGUUAUAUGCAGCAUUCAGUUUUAGCCCAUUUUCAACAACACAAUUCAGAUAUGAGCCUUUUGAAUUUUAAAGGGAUAUGUAAAGUAAAUAAGAACUGGAGAGGGGGAGAUCAUAAUAAACAAUUAGGCAUUACUGAGAUGCAAUGGAUAUACAAAUUAGAUACGUUGCAGCCUAAGGGAUUAAAUGCGGAGUUUGAGCUUUGUCACUUUUUGGAAUAAAAUUUUUUUUAAAUAUAUUUUUU
Molecule: non-coding RNA, 425 nt
Organism: Pelobates cultripes (western spadefoot toad)
Lineage: Eukaryota; Metazoa; Chordata; Amphibia; Anura; Pelobatidae
Source: the annotation of a GenBank genome assembly